AGCGAACGCUGGCGGCAGGCCUAACACAUGCAAGUCGAACGAACCUUUCGGGGUUAGUGGCGGACGGGUGAGUAACACGUGGUAACGUGCCUUUAGGUUCGGAAUAACUCAGGGAAACUUGUGCUAAUACCGCAUGUGCCCUUCGGGGGAAAGAUUACUCGCCUUUAGAGCGGCCCGCGUCUGAUUAGCUAGUUGGUUGAGGUAAUGGCUCACCAAGGCGACGAUCAGUAGCUGGUCUGAGAGGAUGAUCAGCCACAUUGGGACUGAGACACGGCCCAAACUCCUACGGGAGGCAGCAGUGGGGAAUAUUGCGGAAUGGGCGAAAGCCUGACGCAGCCAUGCCGCGUGAAUGAUGAAGGUCUUAGGAUUGUAAAAUUCUUUCACCGGGGACGAUAAUGACGGUACCCGGAGAAGAAGCCCCGGCUAACUUCGUG
This 434-nucleotide ribosomal RNA is filed under the name uncultured bacterium. RNAcentral's name for it is "partial 16S ribosomal RNA". It matches the Rfam family "Bacterial small subunit ribosomal RNA", at positions 29 to 507 of the family's 1533-position model. The record is from RNAcentral.